GAAAAGAGGGUUGGAGACCUUCGUUAAAAUUCGGGCAGUCGAAUACGUUCUCAUGGUUUUCAUGUCGAAGAUCCGGUGUCGGGAAAAAUUCGUAUCCAAAACCAUCUGGCCAUCACUGAUUUGUGCUUCUUCAGUGAUUCUUGCCGCAAAUUACUUCACCACGCGAUAGUGUAAGAAUUCAGGCGUUCCUAAAGCUAACGUACCCAACAAUAGCGAAUCACUAGGCACAGGUACAUGAAAAUAUUCCAUUAAUAAAUUUUUGUGAUUUUGAUUUCCAGAAAACUAAAAAGAAGCAUUACUUGGGGUGCAUUGCUUGUCCUUUCAUAGUUUAUUGAAUGAAGGCAAUAAGGUGCCCAUUGAGCUUUCUAUAUGUGGAGAGCUUAAAGAUGGUAAAUUUUGGCCACUGCAAUUAUAGGGUUAUAGCUAUCAAAGUGAACAUAAUGGCUUAUGUUUAUAUGCAAAGGGCUACUGGGACUAAUAUAAGUGUCGUGUACUUAAUACCCAAUGUUCAUACUGUAUAGUUUGAACAUUCAGCUAAUUUGCUUUCCCAAUCCUGAUGGCAGUUACCACAUCUUGGUGGCAAACUUGAAUGUGUUUGAUUCCUGUCUUUCAAUUUCAACUGAAAUCAAAGGUAUUGGGAAAUCAGGAGCACUGGAUAAAAUUUGUGUGCCAAAUAAUGCUGUAAAUGGACAUUCUAUGCUAUUGUGUACCAUAGUGUUACAUGUCAUCCAAAUUUAUGGGAAACUAUUGAACAGCAUAGGUAAUAAAGUUUAAAGAAUUUUUUACUAGAUUCUAUCUUUCCCAUGAUCUUAGCUUUUUUUUGGUUUCCCAGUAGGUCUGGGUGGUGAUGAUUCAUAUUACGAUUUUGGGAUUAAACCGUGCUAUAAAGUAUCAUUUAAUGAAGUCGAAAUUUGAAUAUGGUUAAAUGAUUUACCUUUUAUUAUGAAGAUUGUGUUGAAGUUUGCAUUGGUUCAAGUUUCAUUGGCUAGCACUAGUUCAGAAGUAGGGAAAAUUUGGUAAGUUAGAUGUUAUUUUUGCUGCACAAGAUCUUAUUUGAUAAACAAUUGUUCGUAGAUUACCGGGGGAUAUAAAUAUGACACAAGAUCUAUGGUCCUAUUAAUCUUCUAACUAUUUCCAGGUUUAAAAAAAAAAAUGACUAUGUAAACAGAGCAUCUGUAGGUUUGUAUUUAGGUUAGUACUAAUAAUUUUUCCGUCUUGUUUGUUUUGCUUUCUUAGUUUUUAUUACAAUGGCAACGUAUCCUUGGCUUCUCAGUACGAAUACGUACAUGUGUAUUUUAGAUGCAAUUGUGGAACAGUUUGGAAAGAACCAACUGAAGAAAACUAGGAGAGUGAUGGCUGUUUUUCACACAUUACUACAUCAUCAAAGAAUUUUCGUUUUGACCAACCGUUAUUCCAAAUCAUCCUGGUUUUGGUAGGAAUUAUCUUCAUUGUACUUAAUGGCAUUUGCACUGAAAUUCUAUCUGUCUAAUACCAAAAGAAAGACUUGGAAGUUGUUGGUUUGUAUAUGAACAAAGUUAUCUCCGUUUGAUUUAAGCGUUAUUUAAAAAUUAAACGUGUUUAUUUUCACAAUUUCAAGGGUGUAAGCAUGUUGAAGACGGAACAGCCAUGAAGAUGAACGAAACCUAUAUGCCUAGCUGAGAGGACUAUUGAAGUAGGUAAUAAAGUAGAUCGAUACGAUAAUACAGUAAAGAACACUUGACAUCUCUUUCAAACAAAUUUGAUAUAAUUUUUCUACUUUGUGUAUCGAUUAACCGUUUUGAAAACCCCGAUGUUAAUUACUUUGGGAUAUACAUAGUUGUG
Long non-coding RNA from Daphnia carinata, 1821 nucleotides. RefSeq lists it as uncharacterized. Lineage: Eukaryota; Metazoa; Arthropoda; Branchiopoda; Diplostraca; Daphniidae. The record is from RefSeq and is a predicted model, not a curated record. The transcript has 3 exons.